GCUUUCGUGGUGUAGUGGUCAGCACGCUCGGCCCGUAUUCGGGAGGUCCACGGUUCGAGUCCCGGCCAAGGCG
Molecule: transfer RNA, 73 nt
Filed under: Stegodyphus mimosarum
Lineage: Eukaryota; Metazoa; Arthropoda; Arachnida; Araneae; Eresidae
Rfam family: tRNA
About the family: Transfer RNA (tRNA) molecules are approximately 80 nucleotides in length.
Source: Rfam by way of RNAcentral